This 506-nucleotide ribosomal RNA is filed under the name uncultured bacterium. RNAcentral's name for it is "partial 16S ribosomal RNA". It matches the Rfam family "Bacterial small subunit ribosomal RNA", at positions 29 to 523 of the family's 1533-position model. The record is from RNAcentral.
AGUGAACGCUGGCGGCAGGCCUAACACAUGCAAGUCGAACGGCAGCACAGCAGUAGCAAUACUGUGGGUGGCGAGUGGCGGACGGGUGAGGAAUACAUCGGAAUCUACCUUGUCGUGGGGGAUAACGUAGGGAAACUUACGCUAAUACCGCAUACGACCUACGGGUGAAAGCGGAGGACCGCAAGGCUUCGCGCGAUAAGAUGAGCCGAUGUCCGAUUAGCUAGUUGGCGGGGUAAUGGCCCACCAAGGCGAAGAUCGGUAGCUGGUCUGAGAGGAUGAUCAGCCACACUGGAACUGAGACACGGUCCAGACUCCUACGGGAGGCAGCAGUGGGGAAUAUUGGACAAUGGGCGCAAGCCUGAUCCAGCCAGGCCGCGUGGGGGAAGAAGGCCUUCGGGUUGUAAAGCUCUUUUGUCCGGAAAGAAAAGCAUCGGGCUAAUACCUCGAUGUUCUGACGGUACCGGAAGAAUAAGCACCGGCUAACUUCGUGCCAGCCGCCGCCGUAA